GGAGAACGGCUGGGCGGCGUGGAUUAGGCGAUGCAAGUCGAACGGUAUCAUCUUUCGGGGGUGAGAGAGUGGCGAACUGGUGAGUAACACGUAGGUUAUCUACCCUCAAGACGGGACAACCCAGGGAAACUUGGGCUAAUACCGGAUGUGAGCAACUUUUAGUGUUUGAAAGGUGGCGUAAGCUGUCGCUUGGGGAUGAGCCUGCGUCCUAUUAGUUAGUUGGUGAGGUAACGGCUCACCUAAGGCAAUGAUAGGUAGGCGGCCUUAACGGGUGGUCGCCCACACUGGGAUUGAGAUACGGCCCAGACUCCUACGGGAGGCAGCAGUCGAGAAUAGUCUACAAUGGUCGGAAGACUGAUAGUGCGACGCCGCGUGAACGAUGAAUCCCUUCGGGGUGUAAAGUUCUUUUAUAUGUGAGCAGUGCUUCUUAUAUUAACAGUAUGGGGAGAGAGAUAUUAGCAUAUGAAUAAGCAACGGCUAACUCCGUG
RNAcentral lists this ribosomal RNA (488 nucleotides) under uncultured bacterium. RNAcentral's name for it is "bacterial SSU rRNA". It matches the Rfam family "Bacterial small subunit ribosomal RNA", at positions 38 to 507 of the family's 1533-position model. The record is from RNAcentral.